This 65-nucleotide transfer RNA is filed under the name Dipodomys ordii (Ord's kangaroo rat). It matches the Rfam family "tRNA". Rfam says of the family: Transfer RNA (tRNA) molecules are approximately 80 nucleotides in length. Their secondary structure includes four short double-helical elements and three loops (D, anti-codon, and T loops). Further hydrogen bonds mediate the characteristic L-shaped molecular structure. tRNAs have two regions of fundamental functional importance: the anti-codon, which is responsible for specific mRNA codon recognition, and the 3' end, to which the tRNAs corresponding amino acid is attached (by aminoacyl-tRNA synthetases). tRNAs cope with the degeneracy of the genetic code in two manners: having more than one tRNA (with a specific anti-codon) for a particular amino acid; and 'wobble' base-pairing, i.e. permitting non-standard base-pairing at the 3rd anti-codon position. Lineage: Eukaryota; Metazoa; Chordata; Mammalia; Rodentia; Heteromyidae. The record is from Rfam by way of RNAcentral.
GGUGGCUUAGUGGUAGAGUGCUUGCCUUACAUGCAUGAAGUCCUGGGUUUGAUUCCUCAGCACCA